GGGGCAGUACCGGUUUCGACGGGGAUUUUGAAUCCGGAUAAGCCAUUCAUGUACCGUGCCAUGUAAAAAGACGGAAAACUAAAAAUAAACGCUGAAGACAAUUUAGCAUACGCUGCCUAACUUAGGCGGCGGGUCUCCCCCCAUGCUCCCGUACGUGGGACCGGAGGCCUCGACGAUGCGGGGAACUUCACAUAGUAAGCUUUGCCUGUGUGAAAGAUUGAUGAAGCUACCAAAACGGGCCUGCCUGCUUACCGGAAGGUUCUGAGGGAAUAAAAAAAGAUAAGCUAUGAUGGUAGAAAGUUCGGUGGAGAGGUUUUCGGACACGGGUUCGACUCCCGUCUGCUCCA
RNAcentral lists this transfer-messenger RNA (347 nucleotides) under bovine gut metagenome. It matches the Rfam family "transfer-messenger RNA". From Rfam's summary of the family: Bacterial tmRNA, also known as 10Sa RNA or SsrA, is named for its dual tRNA and mRNA-like properties. Its role is to liberate the mRNA from a stalled ribosome. The record is from RNAcentral.